This 1402-nucleotide ribosomal RNA is filed under the name uncultured bacterium. RNAcentral's name for it is "16S ribosomal RNA". It matches the Rfam family "Bacterial small subunit ribosomal RNA". The record is from RNAcentral.
AGAGUUUGAUCCUGGCUCAGGAUGAACGCUAGCGGCAGGCUUAACACAUGCAAGUCGAAGGGCAGCGAGGGGAGUGCUUGCACUCCCUGUCGGCGACUGGCGCACGGGUGAGUAACACGUAUGCAACCUGCCCUCCACAGGGGGACAACCUUCCGAAAGGGAGGCUAAUCCCGCGUAAAUCCCCCGGAGGCAUCUCCGGGGGAGGAAAACUCCGGUGGUGGAGGAUGGGCAUGCGGCGCAUUAGGCAGUCGGCGGGGUAACGGCCCACCGAACCGACGAUGCGUAGGGGUUCUGAGAGGAAGGUCCCCCACACUGGUACUGAGACACGGACCAGACUCCUACGGGAGGCAGCAGUGAGGAAUAUUGGUCAAUGGACGCGAGUCUGAACCAGCCAAGCCGCGUGAAGGAUUAAGGCCCUACGGGUCGUAAACUUCUUUUGCCAGGGAACAAAAGUGGGGACGUGUCCCCAUCUGCGUGUACCUGAAGAAAAAGCAUCGGCUAACUCCGUGCCAGCAGCCGCGGUAAUACGGAGGAUGCGAGCGUUAUCCGGAUUUAUUGGGUUUAAAGGGUGCGCAGGCGGUCUGUUAAGUCAGCGGUAAAAUUGCGGGGCUCAACCCCGUACAGCCGUUGAAACUGCCGGGCUCGAGUGGGCGAGAAGUAUGCGGAAUGCGUGGUGUAGCGGUGAAAUGCAUAGAUAUCACGCAGAACCCCGAUUGCGAAGGCAGCAUACCGGCGCCCGACUGACGCUGAGGCACGAAAGUGCGGGGAUCAAACAGGAUUAGAUACCCUGGUAGUCCGCACAGUAAACGAUGAAUGCUAGCUGUCCGGGGGGAUUGACCCCUGGGUGGCACAGCGAAAGCGUUAAGCAUUCCACCUGGGGAGUACGCCGGCAACGGUGAAACUCAAAGGAAUUGACGGGGGCCCGCACAAGCGGAGGAACAUGUGGUUUAAUUCGAUGAUACGCGAGGAACCUUACCCGGGCUCAAACGCCGAAGGGACAUUCCCCGAAAGGGGAUUGGCCAGCAAUGGUCUUCGGCGAGGUGCUGCAUGGUUGUCGUCAGCUCGUGCCGUGAGGUGUCGGCUUAAGUGCCAUAACGAGCGCAACCCCCACCGACAGUUGCUAACUGGUCAAGCAGAGGACUCUGUCGGGACUGCCGGCGCAAGCUGCGAGGAAGGCGGGGAUGACGUCAAAUCAGCACGGCCCUUACGUCCGGGGCGACACACGUGUUACAAUGGCAGGUACAGCGGGAUGCCAUGGGGCGACCCAGAGCGGAACCCGAAAACCUGUCUCAGUUCGGAUUGGAGUCUGCAACUCGACUCCAUGAAGCUGGAUUCGCUAGUAAUCGCGCAUCAGCCAUGGCGCGGUGAAUACGUUCCCGGGCCUUGCACUCACCGCCCGUCA